UACGGAGGGUGCAAGCGUUGCUCGGAAUUAUUGGGCGUAAAGAGCUCGUAGGCGGUCUGUCGCGUCUGCUGUGAAAACCUGGGGCUUAACCCCGGGCCUGCAGUGGGUACGGGCAGACUAGAGUGCGGUAGGGGAGACUGGAAUUCCUGGUGUAGCGGUGAAAUGCGCAGAUAUCAGGAGGAACACCGGUGGCGAAGGCGGGUCUCUGGGCCGUAACUGACGCUGAGGAGCGAAAGCAUGGGGAGCGAACAGG
Molecule: ribosomal RNA, 253 nt
Filed under: uncultured bacterium
Lineage: Bacteria
Description: partial 16S ribosomal RNA
Rfam family: Bacterial small subunit ribosomal RNA
Source: RNAcentral